This 45-nucleotide non-coding RNA is filed under the name Schistosoma margrebowiei. The record is from RNAcentral. Lineage: Eukaryota; Metazoa; Platyhelminthes; Trematoda; Strigeidida; Schistosomatidae.
AGCCAGAUAAAGAGUUCCAAAUAGAACGAAACGUACGUCCUAGAU